This 254-nucleotide ribosomal RNA is filed under the name uncultured bacterium. Its description in RNAcentral is "partial 16S ribosomal RNA". It matches the Rfam family "Bacterial small subunit ribosomal RNA", at positions 524 to 776 of the family's 1533-position model. The record is from RNAcentral.
UACGGAGGAUGCAAGCGUUAUCCGGAAUUAUUGGGCGUAAAGCGUCCGCAGGUGGUUUUGAAAGUUUGCUGUCAAAGCGCGGAGCUUAACUUCGUACCGGCAGUGAAAACUCCAAGACUAGAGUUUGGUAGGGGUCACGGGAAUUCCCAGUGUAGCGGUGAAAUGCGUAGAGAUUGGGAAGAACACCAGCGGCGAAAGCGCGUGACUGGGCCUGAACUGACACUCAUGGACGAAAGCUAGGGGGAGCGAAAGGG